This 253-nucleotide ribosomal RNA is filed under the name uncultured bacterium. RNAcentral's name for it is "partial 16S ribosomal RNA". It matches the Rfam family "Bacterial small subunit ribosomal RNA", at positions 524 to 776 of the family's 1533-position model. The record is from RNAcentral.
UACGUAGGGUGCGAGCGUUAAUCGGAAUUACUGGGCGUAAAGUGUGCGCAGGCGGCCGCGCAAGUCGAGUGUGAAAUCCCCGAGCUUAACUUGGGAAUUGCGCUCGAAACUACGUGGCUGGAGUGUGGCAGAGGAAGGUGGAAUUCCACGUGUAGCGGUGAAAUGCGUAGAUAUGUGGAGGAACACCGAUGGCGAAGGCAGCCCCCUGGGCCAAUACUGACGCUCAUGCACGAAAGCGUGGGGAGCAAACAGG